RNAcentral lists this long non-coding RNA (1228 nucleotides) under Homo sapiens (human). RNAcentral's name for it is "HSALNT0378955". Lineage: Eukaryota; Metazoa; Chordata; Mammalia; Primates; Hominidae. The record is from RNAcentral.
CUGCGCAUGCGCGCGCCCCAGGGCCCAGCCCUGUUCCUGCUCCGGCUCCUGCGGGGAUGGAUGCUUCACGCAGUAAGCGACCUAAGUCGCGGAAGCGUAGACACCCGGCUUUUCCCGCGUGCUCUAUCGGGCUCCCCUGGACACGGAGGGUGGAGCAGAAAGAGCAGAGGGGCCGGUGGGAGCCAUGGGGAGUCCGCCUAGCUCCAGAGAAGGGGCUGUCCGAAAUAGAGACUGCUCCUUCAGCCUGGACCCAACUGCGAAGAAGCCACAUGGAACAGAGCUGCAGCUAACCUGAAGUCUGUGUGAACUGAGUGCAAGAGACAAAUGUUUGCCACUGGAAAUCACGGAGAUCUGGGGAUCAUUUGUUACUGCAGCCUCUAGCAGAAGCUGACUGAUACACAGAGGGAAUUGGGUGCUGGGUGGGUGGAAACAGUAUAUAUGCCCCAGAGAGGCCAACUCCAAAAGCUGUGUGAAUUCAGAGAGAAACACCCAUGGCUUAAGGCUUGAAACAAGAGGCAGGAGGUUGGGGGAUAUUGGUUUUUGGUGAACUUACUGGGCUUGCUGAGGCAGAGCAACACCUGUUUCUCUGGGCCAUUACUACAAAGGUCAGAUUGCGAGUCUUGUCCUAGAUUCAGCCUUCUUUGAGAGUUUUCCUUAAGACACAGUUUGAGCAGAUUACUUUCUUGCUUAGAAUCCCUCAGUAGGUCCCCACUGCCCCAGGAUAAAGUCUAGACCCCCAAGCACGUCCUGCACGGCCUUGCUGACAUGUCUGAGUCUGGGCAUUGUACUAGUGAGCCACAAAGUGUGCAGGUCCUGGUGCCCACCCCAUCUCCACUGCUGCCCAGGGCGCAAAUCCACAUCACCCCUUAGCUGGACUAGGGCUAGUGCCUCCUAACUGGAAGGAUUCCACUCAGCUCCCUUCUAAUCCACCGUCCACCCAGCCACUUCUCAAAUGUAAACCCAGUCUUGUUGCCAUCCUACUGUCACGUAUACAAUAAAAUCCAAACUCAUUCUGGAGUGGGUGGGGCGGCUUGUAUUUUCCAAAACUGACCACAUUUGUAUUCUCUUCUUACAAUGUGAUGCUGACACUCCUCCCAUGGAGGGGGCUCUGUGUCCCCUCCCCUCAUUGUGGGUGGGCUUGUGACUAUGGUGAAAAAGACACUCCUGAGGCGAGAUCAUGAGAGGUGACAUGACUUCCUCCUGGCUGUCUUGGGACAUGCACUCCUGG